RNAcentral lists this transfer RNA (70 nucleotides) under Dipodomys ordii (Ord's kangaroo rat). It matches the Rfam family "tRNA". From Rfam's summary of the family: Transfer RNA (tRNA) molecules are approximately 80 nucleotides in length. Their secondary structure includes four short double-helical elements and three loops (D, anti-codon, and T loops). The record is from Rfam by way of RNAcentral. Lineage: Eukaryota; Metazoa; Chordata; Mammalia; Rodentia; Heteromyidae.
GGGAAUGUAGCUUAGUGGUAGAGUGCUUGUCUAGCAUGCAUGAAGCCCUGGGUUCAAUUCCUCAGCACCA